GAUGAACGCUGGCGGCGUGCCUAAUACAUGCAAGUCGAGCGAACAGACGAGGCUCUUGCUCCUCUGACGUUAGCGGCGGACGGGUGAGUAACACGUGUAUAACCUACCUAUAAGACUGGGAUCACUUCGGGAAACCGGAUCUAAUACCGGAUAACAUGUUGAACCGCAUGGUUCAACAGUGAAAGACGGUCUUGCUGUCACUUAUAGAUGGUUCCGCGCUGGUUUAGAUAGUUGGUACGGUAACGGCUUACCAAGGCGACGAUGCGUAGCCGACCUGAGAGGAUGAUAGGCCACACUGGAACUGAGACACGGUCCAGACGCCUAAGGGAGGCAGCAGUAGGGAAUAUUGCGCAAUGGGCGAAAGCCUGACGGAGCAAGGCCGCGUGAGUGAAGAAGGUCUUCGGAUCGUAAAAAACUGUUAUUAGGGAAGAACAAAUGUGUAAGUAAAUAUGCACGUCUUGACGGUACCUAAUCAGAAAGCAACGGCUAACUACGUG
This 497-nucleotide ribosomal RNA is filed under the name uncultured bacterium. Its description in RNAcentral is "partial 16S ribosomal RNA". It matches the Rfam family "Bacterial small subunit ribosomal RNA", at positions 28 to 507 of the family's 1533-position model. The record is from RNAcentral.